GCGGAGGAAAAGAAACCAACAGGGAUUGCCCCAGUAACGGCGAGUGAAGCGGCAACAGCUCAAAUUUGAAAUCUGCCCUUCGGGUCCGAGUUGUAAUUUGCAGAGGAUGCUUUUGGCGAGGUGCCUUCCGAGUUCCCUGGAACGGGACGCCUUAGAGGGUGAGAGCCCCGUACGGUUGGACACUAAGCCUCUGUAAAGCUCCUUCGACGAGUCGAGUAGUUUGGGAAUGCUGCUCUAAAUGGGAGGUAAAUUUCUUCUAAAGCUAAAUACCGGCCAGAGACCGAUAGCGCACAAGUAGAGUGAUCGAAAGAUGAAAAGCACUUUGAAAAGAGGGUUAAAUAGCACGUGAAAUUGUUGAAAGGGAAGCGUUUACGGCCAGACCUUCUCCUGGCGGAUCAUCCGGUGUUCUCACCGGUGCACUUCGCUAGGUUUAGGCCAGCAUCGGCUUCCGUAGGGGGAUAAAAGCAGUGGGAAAGUAGCUCUCUCGGGAGUGUUAUAGCCCUAAGCAUAAUACCUUUACGGGGGCCGAGGACCGCGCUUCGGCAAGGAUGCUGGCGUAAUGGUCGUCAACGACCCGU
Molecule: ribosomal RNA, 578 nt
Filed under: Xylariaceae sp. 8Ps2_1
Lineage: Eukaryota; Fungi; Ascomycota; Sordariomycetes; Xylariales; Xylariaceae
Description: eukaryotic LSU rRNA
Rfam family: Eukaryotic large subunit ribosomal RNA
Source: RNAcentral